UUCUUGUGUCGCGGCCUUUGAGGUGAGUCUGCAUCGUUUUGUUAUAACGGGUAUAACGGGUGCCUAAUAAUGAGUAAAAAAUCAACCUAUAAAUCAAAUACUUAUUCUAUCUUCUUCUAUUUUAAAAUUUAGGAAAAAAGAAUUGGAUUAAGUCUUUAAAUUUCAGAAAUGGAAUCGAAUAAAACUGAUAACACUCCAAAGCAAACUAUGGUUUACAUUUGUGAGUGCCAUCAUGAUAAUGAAAUUCGUCCAAGAGAUCCUAUACGCUGUAGAGAAUGUGGUUAUCGAAUAAUGUACAAAAAACGUACUAAGAGACUUGUUGUAUUUGAUGCUCGAUAAGAUAUAUACACUGAAAAAUGAUUUACAAGGUACGAAGAAGAUCUACGAGGAAAACCUAAGUUUGAUUAUCAAGACAGUACAAUAAUUAAAAGUUUUACUUUUAAUGCUCAUCUCGAAUAAGUUAAUUACAACUUCAUUGAGUGAAUCUUUCUGUGAUUAUUGAUAGAAGCAAUAUGAUCCUGUUGUGGUAGACGUUUUCUUACAUUGAAAAAAAUAUUUAAAAAUCUACUAACAAAUAAUAAUAGAUGUUAAUAAAAAUAGAGCAAAAAUGAACAAUAAAAUCGAAUGAAAAUAAAGAGUAAUCAAUAAUAGCUAAUAUAGUACUCAAAACCUAUUUGUUUGUUCUUCAGCUUCCUUUUUCCUUCUAGUACCUUCUCCAGUUUUUCUCUGAUUAUCUCUGCAUAUACCUUGUAUCUUGUAUCCUGUAACAUGGCAUCCCUAAUGUAGAGAAGAUUCAAGGGCUUUCAUGCACAAUGUACAAGUUAUCUAUCAUACAUAUAGUAUAGUACAAAAUCAACCAGAAAAUUUUUUAUAGUUAAUUGAUCAGAGCAAGCUGGCCAAAUUUUGAAAAUCCGCCACGGGGUAUUUUGUAUUUUCAAACUUUUAGAAAAACAAAAAGUCUGAUUGAAAUUUCUUCGGUAAAACGAUUCAUAAAACUUAACACUACGGCGUUACAGACUCGAUUUCCAUUGCAAGCUUUAUUUAAAAAGUUUUAUGUAAAAUUAGAUUUUGAGGUUGGCGCUGUAAUCACGCGAGUACGCGUAAACAUCUGUUCGUAUUUCCAAGAUUUUAUAAAAACUAAAUGUCCGAUCGAAAUUUCCUUUGGUAGAGUGAUUUAUUAAACCUAACACUAGAGCGCUCCAAGCUUGGUUUUUCAUUACACGCUUUAUUUAAAAAGUUAUAUGUAAUAGAAAAACAGUGUUUUUAGCGACGACAUCCCCUUAAUGGCGAACAACUGAUAUGUGAAUAAGUUGAAGCGUAUAUGGAUGAUGUUUAACACUUAAAUAUAUUUUAACAAACUUUACACUAUUUACAAAGUGUCGCGGAGACCGAAAAGGUCUUGUGUGUUCAGAGGUUACAUCAGUUCUAAUUUGUAUCUGUCGGUGUCAACGCUUAUAAGUGCUAGCAAUGCUAUUAUCUGAAUAGGUAAAAGCGGGAUAAUUGCGCCAGGGACAGGAUAAGACGAGAUAUGGAGGUUUUGGGAAUAUAAACCGUAGAGCGACACAGGUAGACAGGUGUGCGGAGUAGUUUGGUACAAAAUCGCCUAAUGAAAAUCGGGAAAAACCUAGCAACGGCUAUACUAAAACAUCACGGCUUUGUAUACAUGCCUGAACUUAUUUGAAAUAAAGUGUGGCAGAGUAUAUGUGUUGGCAAAAUAAAUUUAAGCAAAUAGUAUCCGAUUAUAUGCACUAGCGCAAUAUAUUGCGCUAUAAUGGAUAUACAAGGCAGCAGCUGAUAUUAUAGUUCAUUACUACGAAGAUUUGAUAAAACAUACUUACAUUCAUACAUUCAUUUAUAAUGUAAAAAUUCAUACCAGCACGGAACUGUCUAAAUUAAAUGAAGUAAUUCAUAAAUUUUGAUACUAAAUAUAUUUCGGCUAAGUUAGAAUAUAAAAUCUUAUGCGCAUAUGUUUUCCUCUAGAUUUUGAUGAAAAAUACUUUCAGGUGCGUCUCAGUUUCUAAUGUAUAAAUUUGAACGAAUAUUUAGGCAUUUAGAAUAAGGAAAAAUGUCUCGCAAUUUCGACGCAAAACAUGAUUUAGUCAAGUUAUAACACAAAAGGUUCACGCGCCGAGUUAAGCAUGUUGCAUGAGAGAGUUGACGCGCGCAUAUUCUUGCCGCGAUAAGCGCGUAACACAGCGACAUAUAUUAUACGUUCAUAUUUUCAAAUACAUCUUAAUUUUUAUUGUAGAAAUUCGAAUAACCAUCAGAGCAUCUUAAACAGAGAAAAUAUCUCGCAAUUUCUGAGGCAAAACAUGCUUUAACCAACUUAUAAUACAUAAAAUUCACGUGCCGUGCCUAUCAUGUUGCAAUUAGUAUAAUGUGCUAGGAUAGCCUGAUGCGUAUGUAUUUGUGCCGCAAUAAACACACAGUGCAGCGAUGCUCAUUGUUAUGAAAUUUUGUCAAAAAGAAAGUCCGCUCAUAUUCCUAUCGUAAAAAAUGUUAAGCAAAUAUCAAUUUAUUUAACAUAAGGGAAAUAUCUUGUGAUUCUUGUCGUAAAACAUGCUUCAGCUUAAUUAGUAUGCAAAAAUGUAUGCGCUGUAUUUAAUGUGUUGCAUGAGAAAGGCUCGAUGUGCGCACAUUCAUACCACGAUGAGUAUAUAACAUAGUGGUGUAUACUGCGCGAUCAUAGUCACAAAAUUUUUGUUAAGAAUUACCUUCAUUUAUUACAUCAUUCCUGCUGUAGAAAUUCAAGAAAAUAUUAGUCUAUCUAAAACAAGGGAAGCAUAUUAUAAUUUUUGAUGCAAAAUUUGCUUUAGCUAAGUUAUAAUACAAAAAUUUUACGUACUAUCUAUGUAUAUUUUACAUAAUAACUAUGAUGCGUACUGUACGUUUAUUAUUACAAAAAUUUUACAAGAACUAUCCUUGCUUGUAUUUUUAUUUCUACUUUACAUUUUCGAUUAAUAUCGGGCCUUUUGAAACAAAGAAAAACUUUAUGUGAUUUCAAAUGCUCUAUAUGUUUUAUCAAAAUUAGAUUGCAAUAAAUUAAAUGCUGUGCUGAGCACGAUUGAUGUGAAACGCUCGAAAUACAUAUAUUCUAGUCAAUAAAAAUAUUACACCGGUAAUUGCGGGUAAUAAAGUAAUUAAUACGUAUGUACAUUUAAAUAUAAAUAUUUUAUGAGUACAAAAGAAAAGGCUGAAACUGUGUUAUUUGUGCAUUGAUUGUAUAUGAACUUGCGCGCCUAAUGGCCGCGAGAAUGCGAAAUUAAAUUAUCGUUUUUUUUUUUUUAAGUGAAUUAGUAUGGUUGUCACUGGCUAGAAUGAGUGUCGCUGUUUUAUCAGCUUGUUGGAAUGCGCGUUUACACGUGUUUAUGUCUCGAGCGGUGUUCCGAACAGGCUUUGAGAGAGCAUAGCGCUUGUGUAUAGGGGAGCGGGGGAAGAGAGGUGAGCUUUGCUUGGCGUGACGGCUCUCCACCGCUGCCGUUUAUGAAUGAGAUGACCGUGCGGGUGCGAGGACAACACGAUCUCGGUUGUUUCGACGCUGCAUCUUCGACUGCGCGCAUAACUAAUUCGAUUCUCAAAGUAUGCGGAAGUGUUUUUAAAAUUGAUUAAACAUGUGCUUCAUGCCGAGUUCCAUAAAUUCGCCGUUCGACCUGGCCUGCGCGAUGUCCGUGGCAAGGUGGGCAACAGCUUCCUUGACGGAUUAUGAAACAUACGCCAAGGGGAUGCUGUUUCGGAGCCUGGACUGAACACGGUUUGGAGUGCUCGUUCAUGAGCGUUUGAUAGACCGGUUGCAAUGCCGAUUUUGUGAUGCCGACCUUGACUUUCAUGUAGAGACUAAGGUACAUGGCUAUACCGAUUUCGGAAACUGGAAGGCAGGUGGUGGGCAUUAUCUCUUGGGGGAGCGCGGUGAGACUCGUUUUCCAGUCAUAUGCCCCAAUGAUGGCUACCUUGGGACUCGUGUGUCGAUGUGGCCCGUUAUGGAGCGUACGGAUUAUGAAGAGUUUGACCCCGAACAGUUCGGAGAUGUGCUCAUGGAGGAGCGCAAGAGCGUGCAGUAUAGAGGGAAGCGUGUCCGUAUAUUUAAGUAUAAAUGUCCAUGGGGAAAGCCAUAUUCAGUAAUUGUCCAUAUCGGAUCACGACGUCCAGCGUACUUGCCGUCAAGCGUGAAACAUCUAAAUACGGUGCAGAAGCUCAAUGUGAUUUUUUUGCGGUGCGACGUGCAAGAGGGAUGCACGUCGUACCAGAAGAUGUUGCGGUGUCGCUGUCACGGUAGCUUUUUAUUAUUUGAAGUCGUGACAAGCGCCUCCGACUAAAGCUAAUAUUAUGUUUUAAAUUUUAUUAGUUUUAUCAACAAUAUAAUGUUUUGUAUGCUGAAGAAGAAAAAAAAAUUUGUGUUUUUAUUUGUGUAUACCCUGCCACUCCUUUUGUUCCCAUAUCAAAAUGCUGCCAAUUUUUCUUCUUUACAUGUAGUUUCCUUUGACGUUAUAUAUAUAU
This is an RNA transcript of Nasonia vitripennis (jewel wasp), 4494 nucleotides long. It is a transcript of the gene named DNA-directed RNA polymerases I, II, and III subunit RPABC4, with no coding region annotated. The record is from RefSeq and is a predicted model, not a curated record. The transcript is spliced from 7 exons. Lineage: Eukaryota; Metazoa; Arthropoda; Insecta; Hymenoptera; Pteromalidae.